RNAcentral lists this unclassified non-coding RNA (345 nucleotides) under soil metagenome. RNAcentral describes it as "partial contains 5.8S ribosomal RNA, internal transcribed spacer 2, and large subunit ribosomal RNA". The stretch from base 1 to 119 matches the Rfam family "5.8S ribosomal RNA", at positions 35 to 154 of the family's 154-position model. The record is from RNAcentral.
GAUGAAGAACGCAGCGAAAUGCGAUAGGUAAUGUGAAUUGCAAAUUCAGUGAAUCAUCGAGUCUUUGAACGCACAUUGCGCCCCCUGGUAUUCCGGGGGGCAUGCCUGUCCGAGCGUCAUUGCUGCCCUCAAGCACGGCUUGUGUGUUGGGCCCCGUCCUCCGAUCCCGGGGGACGGGCCCGAAAGGCAGCGGCGGCACCGCGUCCGGUCCUCGAGCGUAUGGGGCUUUGUCACCCGCUCUGUAGGCCCGGCCGGCGCUUGCCGAUCAACCCAAAUUUUUAUCCAGGUUGACCUCGGAUCAGGUAGGGAUACCCGCUGAACUUAAGCAUAUCAAUAAGCGGAGGA